GGUAGCCGGAAGGGCACAGUCCAAGGACAGGGCAGGAGGUGAGGAGCCUCCCUCGGCCAGAGUCUGAUUCACAGGGUCAGCCGGCGGUCGGGUCCUCUCCACGACCUCCUCCGAUAUUUAGGUGGCAAGAUGGAAUAAUGUGUUUGAAUUCAAAUACACCCUCUGAUGAAGUUUUGGGGUGAUGAUGGGGGAUUCGGAGCUGAGGGCCAAGAAAGCAGUCUUGAAGACAUCUUUGGUGCAAAAAGCACACAUAGUAAACAGAGAAGAAGAUGAGCUGUGGAAGUUAGUAGACAAUACGUGUGCUUGAAUCUUGACCCCAUCAUUUUUGUGUCAUCCUGGAUGAUCUAGUGAGAUUUUGAAUGAGAUGCCACUGGAGGUCACUGGACAGAUACUAUUUGAAUGCAGAAAUCAGCAAUUAUCUUUUAACUAGGGACAUGAAACCAGAAACUAUGUUCCGGUGAUGGUGACUGCCCUGACAAGACCUCCCGCUGGUCCAGACCGCCCAGACCCUUUGAGAGAAACUUGAUCCAAGCCUGCACAGAUGGGCCAUGGAGUGACCUCUGGAAUAACCUACAAUUACCUUUACUUCAUUAUAAUUCUAAAAUCUUUGCCCAAGGAGGACCACCAGCCUCAUUGACAAAACACACAAUGUAUGUAUAGGCAUGUUUCCUUAAGGCACAUGUGUGACCUUAUGCCUGCUUCUGCGUACAAUGACAAGGCUUCCCUAUCUAAAUAUUCACCCUAACCCUAAACAGAAGGAGCCCAUUCACCCUCUCUCAGGGAGUCAUGGCUUUGGAAGCCAUUCCCCUGAUCUCCUUAUUUGCUGUAAGCAAAUUUUCUUUGUGGACAAUUCAAUCUGGUAUAGUUCCUGACUCAACAAGGAGCAAACUCAUGUUGGUUCAGUUACAGUUGAACUCAACUUGAACUGCCCCAGUUUAAAAUGCAAGCUGCUCAUUUUCCCAAUGCACGUCUAACCCCCUUAUCCAGGUGGCUUUUAUCACUUCCUAGUAAACUUGUUAUUUACUUAACUAUAUGUUUAUUAUUUAUUUUCUGUCUCUCCCCACUAAAAUUAAAUUUUCACAACACUUGUUUAUUCAUGGUGUUGCAUAGAACAAAGCCUGGCACAGAAGCCACUCAUUAAAUUCUCGUUGAAUACAUGAAUAAAUGAGACAUGAAAGUCUUUGUCAUCAGAAUAAGGUGAAAAACCCAUGUGAAAUAUCAAAU
This is a long non-coding RNA of Felis catus (domestic cat), 1224 nucleotides long. RefSeq lists it as uncharacterized. The record is from RefSeq and is a predicted model, not a curated record. The transcript is spliced from 5 exons. Lineage: Eukaryota; Metazoa; Chordata; Mammalia; Carnivora; Felidae.